CCUCUUUUCAGGGACUGGAUAAAAUGGCUACAAGAACUGUCCCAGGCAGCCAGCUCUUCCUGUAUAAAUACCACGUUUUUAUUCAGUUCUUAUUUGAAAAUUGCGAUUUAAAAAACUAUAAUUAUUCCCUUGGGUACAUGACAAGUGUUUUUUUGGAAAAGCAACUUUAUUUCCUAGCCCAUUGCCCUGCCCAAAAGCAUCUGGCUGUUCCCCAGUGGGAUCGCUCUCCCCAAAGAGCAGUGAGGGCUUAAAAGCAUUUUUAGGCAGAUACUAUUAGGGGCGAAGUCUCUCUCUGAAGGGAAACAAAAUUUUUGGUUAGUUUUCUGAAAGAGAAAAAGCCAAACCCUCUGCUUAGCUGGGCCAACUGAAUAGUCCACAUACUGCAGUGACCUCUCAUAGUUCAGGAAAACUGCUGCUGACACAGAGGAACACAAGGCCCCCUAUUACCUUGUGGCUCAUUUAAUGUGCUACCUGUAACAUGCUAUGCAUGCCUCUGGAAUAUCUUUAAAUUCUGAACCAAGACCCAUGUAUUCCUAUUUCCAUCUGCACCAGAUAACUUAUAAUAUCAAAAUGAAUAGAAGAAAAUGUGUUCACUGGAAACUGGCUGUUGAGCCCCUCCAAUGGGAGCUGAGGAGCUGUGUCUCUGCAGGCAUGGGGACUGGCCACAAGCAAAGAGUCAGCAGCAUGAAGCCCCGGAGCUGUAGCGUGUGCAGCAGGCGCCAAUCCAACAGCAUGGGAACAACAGUGUCGCAAUCAUUCCUCAGUUAUGGCAAGAAUGUGCUAUUUUUCACUGUUAGGUGUUGCUUCUGAGAACUACAAAUAAAACUCUCCAACCAAGUGAACAGACUCUCUGCUGGCCAAGGGGACUCCAGAGAACCUUAGAAACUGAGUUUCUGACCAUAACAGGAUGGGAGGUCAGACACACCUCAUCAUACCCCCUCCCUUUUGUGGUUUUAGACACAACAACUGAUCAGCAUUGAUAUUAAAAGAGAGAUCAUAAGACUGACGGAACAACUUUGUGACAAUAAGAUACCAAAUAAUAAACAGGAUCUAAAGCCAUGUCAGCCAAGGGUUAAGUCAUGCACCCCUCCCUACACUUAAAGAAUAAAACAAUUGGCCAGGCGCAGUGGCUCAGGCCUGUAAUCGCAGCACUUUGGGAGGCCGAGGCGGGUGGAUCACAAGGUCAGAAGAUCGAGACCAUCCUGGCUAACAUGGUGAAACCCCGUCUCUACUAAAAAUACAAAAAAAUUAGCCGGGCGUGGUGGCAGGCACCCGUAGUCCCAGCUAGGAGGCUGAGGCAGGAGAAUGGCGUGAACCUGGGAGGCAGAGGUUACAGUGAACCGAGAUUGCGCCACUGCAUUCCAGCCUGGGUGACAGAACACCACCAGACGCUAACUGACCCCUUAUUCUAUCAGCCAUAACCAUGCUUUGAUUGGACAAGACAUUUAUUUCUGUAACUUUCUCCUGGUAAAAGACCACCAACCAUGGACUGGUUCUGGUCAGUUUCACAGAGGCUGCAUACUUGAGUGCCUUCCUGUCUCUGCUUCACCUUUUGAUGUAUAGGGCUUAAUGGUAAUACAUUUAAAAGUCUCCACCCCUAAGAGAACAUGGGCCAUAUGUAACACGUUUUUUCAGUACACAUGCGUUAGGACCACCUUCAUAAAUAUUCAUAGCUUCUCCUGUAACUGUUGAGUAUGUAUACUUGGCCAACCCAUUCAGCAUAAAUCCCUGUUCUACCCUCCUGUCCCUCAAAGUGCCUGUCUUUUGGUUGACCCUUUAUAAGAAAUAGUUUCCUCUCCAGAGUUACAGAUCCUAUGAUUUUUUUGUUGACACUUCUAAUUAUCCAGCCUAUAUAAUUUUCCUAUACAUAUAAUGCUGUAGUUUUAAAUGACAAAACAUUCUGGAAUCAUUGUCACUAAUCCAGUAAUUAGGAACAGUCUCUACUGUCAACAACUGAACUGUGUUUGAAGUACAAAUUCCCCAAAAUCCUAAAUCUUAACUUCCUCAAGUGGAUCAUCUUAAACAAAAAUUAUUCUUAAAGACAAUAGUGCUCAUUAGGAGAAUAAAAUGGGCUUGGCCCUCCCUCGAGAAAGUAUCAGCAAUCCAAAUAACCUCUCACCAUAUCCAUUCACCAAUCAGAGUGGGAAAUGACUCUAUCAUCAAAGCACAAAAAAAGAUUUUGCACUUCUGAACCUUUCCGAUUGGUGCUGAACCUACAUACACGGAUGAAUGGGUGGAUGUGGGAUGGAUGACCAGUUAUGUAUAAUUGAUGAGAAAUUUGUACAUGACUGCCAACCUUGAACAAAAUUUUCAGCGUUCAGGAAAUUUUUUUUUG
This 2335-nucleotide long non-coding RNA is filed under the name Homo sapiens (human). RNAcentral describes it as "non-protein coding lnc-CELF4-17:1". The record is from RNAcentral. Lineage: Eukaryota; Metazoa; Chordata; Mammalia; Primates; Hominidae.